UUUCGGCAAGGGGGUCAUCCCGACUUACCAACCCGAUGCAAACUGCGAAUACCGGAGAAUGUUAUCACGGGAGACACACGGCGGGUGCUAACGUCCGUCGUGAAGAGGGAAACAACCCAGACCGCCAGCUAAGGUCCCAAAGUCAUGGUUAAGUGGGAAACGAUGUGGGAAGGCCCAGACAGCCAGGAUGUUGGCUUAGAAGCAGCCAUCAUUUAAAGAAAGCGUAAUAGCUCACUGGUCGAGUCGGCCUGCGCGGAAGAUGUAACGGGGCUAAACCAUGCACCGAAGCUGCGGCAGCGACGCUUAUGCGUUGUUGGGUAGGGGAGCGUUCUGUAAGCCUGCGAAGGUGUGCUGUGAGGCAUGCUGGAGGUAUCAGAAGUGCGAAUGCUGACAUAAGUAACGAUAAAGCGGGUGAAAAGCCCGCUCGCCGGAAGACCAAGGGUUCCUGUCCAACGUUAAUCGGGGCAGGGUGAGUCGACCCCUAAGGCGAGGCCGAAAGGCGUAGUCGAUGGGAAACAGGUUAAUAUUCCUGUACUUGGUGUUACUGCGAAGGGGGGACGGAGAAGGCUAUGUUGGCCGGGCGACGGUUGUCCCGGUUUAAGCGUGUAGGCUGGUUUUCCAGGCAAAUCCGGAAAAUCAAGGCUGAGGCGUGAUGACGAGGCACUACGGUGCUGAAGCAACAAAUGCCCUGCUUCCAGGAAAAGCCUCUAAGCAUCAGGUAACAUCAAAUCGUACCCCAAACCGACACAGGUGGUCAGGUAGAGAAUACCAAGGCGCUUGAGAGAACUCGGGUGAAGGAACUAGGCAAAAUGGUGCCGUAACUUCGGGAGAAGGCACGCUGAUAUGUAGGUGAAGUCCCUUGCGGAUGGAGCUGAAAUCAGUCGAAGAUACCAGCUGGCUGCAACUGUUUAUUAAAAACACAGCACUGUGCAAACACGAAAGUGGACGUAUACGGUGUGACGCCUGCCCGGUGCCGGAAGGUUAAUUGAUGGGGUCAGCGCAAGCGAAGCUCUUGAUCGAAGCCCCGGUAAACGGCGGCCGUAACUAUAACGGUCCUAAGGUAGCGAAAUUCCUUGUCGGGUAAGUUCCGACCUGCACGAAUGGCGUAAUGAUGGCCAGGCUGUCUCCACCCGAGACUCAGUGAAAUUGAACUCGCUGUGAAGAUGCAGUGUACCCGCGGCAAGACGGAAAGACCCCGUGAACCUUUACUAUAGCUUGACACUGAACAUUGAGCCUUGAUGUGUAGGAUAGGUGGGAGGCUUUGAAGUGUGGACGCCAGUCUGCAUGGAGCCGGCCUUGAAAUACCACCCUUUAAUGUUUGAUGUUCUAACGUGGACCCGUGAUCCGGGUUGCGGACAGUGUCUGGUGGGUAGUUUGACUGGGGCGGUCUCCUCCUAAAGAGUAACGGAGGAGCACGAAGGUUGGCUAAUCCUGGUCGGACAUCAGGAGGUUAGUGCAAUGGCAUAAGCCAGCUUGACUGCGAGCGUGACGGCGCGAGCAGGUGCGAAAGCAGGUCAUAGUGAUCCGGUGGUUCUGAAUGGAAGGGCCAUCGCUCAACGGAUAAAAGGUACUCCGGGGAUAACAGGCUGAUACCGCCCAAGAGUUCAUAUCGACGGCGGUGUUUGGCACCUCGAUGUCGGCUCAUCACAUCCUGGGGCUGAAGUAGGUCCCAAGGGUAUGGCUGUUCGCCAUUUAAAGUGGUACGCGAGCUGGGUUUAGAACGUCGUGAGACAGUUCGGUCCCUAUCUGCCGUGGGCGCUGGAGAACUGAGGGGGGCUGCUCCUAGUACGAGAGGACCGGAGUGGACGCAUCACUGGUGUUCGGGUUGUCAUGCCAAUGGCACUGCCCGGUAGCUAAAUGCGGAAGAGAUAAGUGCUGAAAGCAUCUAAGCACGAAACUUGCCCCGAGAUGAGUUCUCCCUGACCCUUUAAGGGUCCUGAAGGAACGUUGAAGACGACGACGUUGAUAGGCCGGGUGUGUAAGCGCAGCGAUGCGUUGAGCUAACCGGUACUAAUGAACCGUGAGGCUUAACCUU
RNAcentral lists this ribosomal RNA (2035 nucleotides) under Escherichia coli. Its description in RNAcentral is "partial 23S ribosomal RNA". It matches the Rfam family "Bacterial large subunit ribosomal RNA", at positions 913 to 2925 of the family's 2925-position model. RNAcentral also lists the same sequence under 1 other name. The record is from RNAcentral. Lineage: Bacteria; Pseudomonadati; Pseudomonadota; Gammaproteobacteria; Enterobacterales; Enterobacteriaceae.